This 70-nucleotide transfer RNA is filed under the name Papilio machaon (common yellow swallowtail). It matches the Rfam family "tRNA". From Rfam's summary of the family: Transfer RNA (tRNA) molecules are approximately 80 nucleotides in length. Their secondary structure includes four short double-helical elements and three loops (D, anti-codon, and T loops). Lineage: Eukaryota; Metazoa; Arthropoda; Insecta; Lepidoptera; Papilionidae. The record is from Rfam by way of RNAcentral.
ACGUCGGUGGCUCAGGGUUUAAGCAUUUGACUUGUAAUCAGCAGGUCCUGGGUUCGAAUCCCGGCAUGUA